UUAGGGUACACAAUGUAGUGAACAACAAUUCCUUCAUCUGGUCUCAUAGAAUCUAAAUACAAAGUAGUCCUUUCUACCCUUUUUCCCAAAACAGAGUGUGGGCACUUGGAAAGUGAGUUUUACCCGAAGUUACGGAAAUGCCAAGAGCCUGAUAGAGGAUUGUGGAGCCUUGAGGCACCAAGACUCCAAGGAGUCGCAGCGUCUUUUGUUUUGGUAAGAGAAGUGAAUGGAAAGUUAGACAGAAACCGGAGGACACCACCAUCUGGGAGGAUGGUAAGGAGAACCUUAUGUUUCUUACAGUAUUUCCAGAUAUGAGUCAGUUCAAGCAGUGCGUUUCAGGCCCACAGUACAUGCAAAAAUUUCCAAGCAUGGAGAGUGA
Molecule: long non-coding RNA, 379 nt
Filed under: Cairina moschata (Muscovy duck)
Lineage: Eukaryota; Metazoa; Chordata; Aves; Anseriformes; Anatidae
Description: domestica (muscovy Duck (domestic type)) lncRNA (ENSCMMG00000013236.1)
Source: RNAcentral